RNAcentral lists this ribosomal RNA (481 nucleotides) under uncultured bacterium. Its description in RNAcentral is "bacterial SSU rRNA". It matches the Rfam family "Bacterial small subunit ribosomal RNA", at positions 416 to 890 of the family's 1533-position model. The record is from RNAcentral.
CUUCGGGUUGUAAAGCACUUUUGUCCGGAAAGAAAACGNUCUGGUUAAUACCUGGGGCGGAUGACGGUACCGGAAGAAUAAGCACCGGCUAACUACGUGCCAGCAGCCGCGGUAAUACGUAGGGUGCGAGCGUUAAUCGGAAUUACUGGGCGUAAAGCGUGCGCAGGCGGUUUUGUAAGACAGGCGUGAAAUCCCCGAGCUCAACUUGGGAAUUGCGCUUGUGACUGCAAGGCUAGAGUAUGUCAGAGGGGGGUAGAAUUCCACGUGUAGCAGUGAAAUGCGUANAGAUGUGGAGGAAUACCGAUGGCGAAGGCAGCCCCCUGGGACGUCACUGACGCUCAUGCACGAAAGCGUGGGGAGCAAACAGGAUUAGAUACCCUGGUAGUCCACGCCCUAAACGAUGUCAACUAGUUGUUGGGGAUUCAUUUCUUCAGUAACGUAGCUAACGCGUGAAGUUGACCGCCUGGGGAGUACGGUCGCA